This is a long non-coding RNA of Engraulis encrasicolus (European anchovy), 418 nucleotides long. RefSeq lists it as uncharacterized. Lineage: Eukaryota; Metazoa; Chordata; Actinopteri; Clupeiformes; Engraulidae. The record is from RefSeq and is a predicted model, not a curated record. The transcript is spliced from 3 exons.
GUCCCACGCCCAGAGAAUCCAACAGUGGAUUCAGUGUCCACAACAUCAGCUAUGAUUAAAUGGCUUCCACCACAUGAACUGGGUGGUACAAACCCUUCUUACAAAGUCCAAGUAGAAGGUGUUCAAGCCAUGACUGCAAUUGCAUGCAACAUAGACAUACUAAACUUGAAGCCAAACACAACAUAUACUGUUUAUGUCUGCACUGUCCUGAAUGAUCAACUGAGUGAAGCUGUGCCUGUGAAAGUGAAAACUGGAUCCCUUACUGCAAAAGCCACGUCAUGGUUUGGACUAUGAGUUGUACACCAAGAGCUGACAAGAAAUCCAAAUGAGUCCCACCCUGACAAGAAAUCCAUGACAAGAACUCUGAAUCCAAACACACAGUUUGUUUCCAUGUUUUUUGUAGUCUGUGUUAAAGAGU